Molecule: unclassified non-coding RNA, 463 nt
Filed under: Hevea brasiliensis (rubber tree)
Lineage: Eukaryota; Viridiplantae; Streptophyta; Magnoliopsida; Malpighiales; Euphorbiaceae
Source: RNAcentral
UUGCACGCAAAAGGAAGAGAGGGAACGUCCCUUGAGUGUGCUUGUGGAGUGUGACAGAGCACGCACAUAGAAAUCAGCUAGUGGUGUUAGACUAAAGUUGUGGAGAAGAAAUCUGUCUGGUCUCUGCACCACUCAUGCAGUUAUUCCUAAAUUUUAAAAGAAUUAUGGUAUUUGAUGUGUCACCAUUGUCCUGGAGAUUGUUGUAUUAAAUUCCUGUGGAUUUUGUUCCUCUGUGUUUCGAGGAUGGGGUUUUGUGAUGAGGGCUAAUUCUGUUGGUGAGGGAGGGUGUCAUAUUAGCGCUUAGGUUACGUCAGGGCUUUUCAAAUCUCGAGUGUCAUUUUUUCUGUAGUUUUUUUGUCUCCUCUGGUUAGGUUUUAAUUCAACUACAUAGAAUUUAUGAUGUAAAUGUGCAUUUGUUAGGUAAAUUUAUGGCAAGUGUAGGACACUUGGCCUCCGCAGAAAG